CCUGUCCCUACAGACUACGCAUUGCAGAAUCUAAGACAUCAAGUCAAGUUCGGAAGCACUUGCCUUCUCCUCUCCAGGUACACAGGCUCUCCUGGAAAGCUGGUAGCAGCUGUGGAGGUGUGGUGUGUUACCUGCUGCAGGUGCAGAGAAGUUGACUUCACAGCCCUUCAGAAAGACUGCCUUCUUCCAGUUGUAUUUGUGUACUUGCUUGGGUGUGGGGAGGAUUCUCAGCUUUCUCCACUCAAAUUAUCAGACCCUUUCCAUUUAGUGGUAGACCAUUUCCCUCGUCCAGGCCAAGGGCACAUAGUACAGAGAAAUAGGGAGUUGUUACCCAGGGAGAGAACUUGGCUCUAAACCUGUAAUAGAAAGGUCAGUUCUGGUCUGGAGGGUCAAUUUUGAUCUUUGGCUCAGAUCCAGGAAUUGGAACCAAGGCUUUUGAACAUUUUAAUGCAGGGGAUUAAAAAAAUGAUACGAGUCAUUCACGAAUAUAUUUGCUUAACAUCUAAAGAGAUCCCUCAAAACACUAGAAAAAAUAAGAACAAAAAUCUAAUAAAACAAAAUUUG
RNAcentral lists this long non-coding RNA (564 nucleotides) under Homo sapiens (human). RNAcentral's name for it is "HSALNT0037991". The record is from RNAcentral. Lineage: Eukaryota; Metazoa; Chordata; Mammalia; Primates; Hominidae.